GCUUGUCUCAAAGAUUAAGCCAUGCAUGUCUAAGUAUAAGUAUUAUACAGCGAAACUGCGAAUGGCUCAUUAAAACAGUUAUAGUUUACAUGAUAAUCGAAUUUACAUGGAUAACCGUAGUAAUUCUAGAGCUAAUACAUGCGUCAAAACCCGACUCCUGGGAGGGUUGUAUUUAUUAGAUGGAAACCAAUGCGGGGCAACCCGGUAUAUGGUGAUUCAUAAUAACUUUCGGAUCGAUCUUCGGAUCGAUGCAUCAUUCAAGUUUCUGCCCUAUCAGCUUUGGAUGGUAGGGUAUUGGCCUACCAUGGCUUUAACGGGUAACGGAGAAUUAGGGUUCGAUUCCGGAGAGGGAGCCUGAGAAAUGGCUACCACAUCCAAGGAAGGCAGCAGG
RNAcentral lists this ribosomal RNA (391 nucleotides) under Uroglenopsis americana. RNAcentral describes it as "partial small subunit ribosomal RNA". It matches the Rfam family "Eukaryotic small subunit ribosomal RNA", at positions 30 to 432 of the family's 1831-position model. Lineage: Eukaryota; Chrysophyceae; Chromulinales; Chromulinaceae. The record is from RNAcentral.